UACGAAGGGUGCAAGCGUUACUCGGAAUCACUGGGUGUAAAGCGCGUGUAGGCGGCCUGCCAAGUCUGCUGUGAAAGCGCCUGGCUUAACCGGGCGAGGUCGGUGGAAACUGGCGGGCUGGAGGUCGGUAGAGGGGGGUGGAAUUCCCGGUGUAGUGGUGAAAUGCGUAGAUAUCAGGAGGAACACCGGUGGCGAAGGCGGCUCUCUGGACCACAACUGACGCUGAGGCGCGAAAGCUAGGGGAGCAAACAGG
RNAcentral lists this ribosomal RNA (253 nucleotides) under uncultured bacterium. RNAcentral describes it as "partial 16S ribosomal RNA". It matches the Rfam family "Bacterial small subunit ribosomal RNA", at positions 524 to 776 of the family's 1533-position model. The record is from RNAcentral.